RNAcentral lists this long non-coding RNA (1398 nucleotides) under Capra hircus (goat). RNAcentral describes it as "lncRNA (ENSCHIG00000004712.1)". Lineage: Eukaryota; Metazoa; Chordata; Mammalia; Artiodactyla; Bovidae. The record is from RNAcentral.
AAGUGCUGCGUUGGAACAAAGGCGACUUCUUCUCUUUGGCAAACUCUGAGCUCCUGCUCUGUUUUGUCCAAUUAUGGGUUGAGCUCGCCCCUGCCCACGAGCCAGCUAAUCAGACUUUUAUGAGCCUUGCUCCCUCACGCCCAGGGCCCGGAGCUGAAUGCAGGUUUCUGCAGAGAGAGGAGGACGUGCUUUUUGCCGGAAGACUGCUUCCCACUCUGACCUAAUCCUGGGAGCCCUGGAACCUCAAAUCCUAGCUCUCCGAGGAGAGUCCAUCCUCUUCCAUCAACAUGGACCUCAGGACCCUGGUGGGAGGAAGCGCCUGGAAGACAAGCCUAGACAUCUCCAACCGGAACUCGGGAUGAAUUCUCCCGUAGACCUACCUGUGAAUGGUGCCUGGCAUGGUCAAGGCUGAGACAACUAAAUGUAUGUUUUGCAUACACCCUCUAUGAAUCUGUGCUGGAUUACCAAAAUAUUGAAACAAGUGGAAACACCUAGAGAGUGCCGGACCUUGUGAAAAAGACCUAUAAUUCCAAUUAAUAUUUUUUAAAGCCUAAGUUUGACCCCCAAAAAGCUUUUCUCUAUAGUAUCUUGAACCAUACAGCGUGCGUUAUAUUGACUAAGUUCAGCUGACGCAAAGCAAGAACGGAAGAAAGCAGUGGUAGUGACUCAUCGGCUGUCAGUGGAGGCAAUUAUGCCAGGCACACAGAGUCUGUGGGAGCUGCCGUUCCACUGAGGGAGAGACAAAGCACAGGGCGUCUCAGCGCCGAGGGUCUGUGUCUGUCCAUGUAGCCAGUGGCCCCGUGUAGGAUGGGAGUCGCGAAGCUCAGCCGGUAGAGACCUGGGUCCUUUGAAGUUUCUUUUUCACAAGUGAUUUCAAUUAGAGAGCAGUUUCUAUUUUAAUAGUGUCCUGGGUGAAAUCAGGCUUUAAGAUUUUGAAGUCUUGGUGGGUAGAAAGGAGGGAAAAGGUUUAAAAGCGGCUAGCCGUUUUGGUGAAAGCAUCCAUUUACUUUAGACCGAGCCCUGGUUGUUUUCUGAAAGCCCCUCAGUGGGCCCUUGGGUGACACCUGUGUCAGAGCAGGUGGCUGGUAUUUGAAGGGAGCAUGGGGAGGCAAUCUCGGUGUAGACCUUCUCCACCAAGGCACACUAAUCUGCUUGGUAAUGUUUAUCUUGGGGUGUGGUUGAGGCGGAUCUGAGCCUCUGUAAGUGGAUGGUUUUUGGUUAGAGACAAAGGGAGUGGAAAGGUGGGAUCUGCUUCUCUCUUUGAGGGGCUACAGCCAGAAGGGACCCCAAAUAAGCCUGUUCUGAUCCCUCUGAUGGCAGAUGUAUCCCAACUAUCAUGUUUCUCCUCGGUGAGCCUCAAAACCUACAGUGUGGUCUUGUCCACAGUUUCCAUCUGGU